GACCUCAGAUCAGGCAAGAC
RNAcentral lists this ribosomal RNA (20 nucleotides) under Calvadosia sp. 3 LSM-2016. RNAcentral's name for it is "partial 28S large subunit ribosomal RNA". The record is from RNAcentral. Lineage: Eukaryota; Metazoa; Cnidaria; Staurozoa; Stauromedusae; Kishinouyeidae.